AAGGUAGUCCAGCCCGGGCGGUGGUUGUCCCGGGGUAAGGGUGUAGGCCGUGCGGUAGGUAAAUCCGUCGCACACAAGGCUGAGACCUGAUGCCGAGCCGAUUGUGGUGAAGUGGAUGAUCCUAUGCUGUCGAGAAAAGCCUCUAGCGAGUUUCAUGGCGGCCGUACCCUAACCGACUCAGGUGGUCAGGUAGAGAAUACCGAGGCGUUCGGGUGAACUAUGGUUAAGGAACUCGGCAAAAUGCCCCGUAACUUCGGGAGAAGGGGGCCACGAUCUGGUGAUGAG
RNAcentral lists this non-coding RNA (285 nucleotides) under Streptomyces afghaniensis 772. Its description in RNAcentral is "Bacterial large subunit ribosomal RNA". It matches the Rfam family "Bacterial large subunit ribosomal RNA", at positions 1479 to 1767 of the family's 2925-position model. Lineage: Bacteria; Bacillati; Actinomycetota; Actinomycetes; Kitasatosporales; Streptomycetaceae. The record is from Rfam by way of RNAcentral.